CAGAAAGUGUCUUUUUCAUUACAGUUUCUGCUGCUGGGCAAGCGGUAUAUCACUAUACGGCUUCUGUACCGUGAAAUGAAGCUUAUGAUAAAUAUUUAAAAUACUGCUGCUUGCUGUUCACUGAUUCAAGAUCGUUCAGUGGCUACCAUUGGCCAAUCUCACCAACGGGAUAUAAUAAGAACUGAAGCAGGUUUAUGCACCCGUAGCCAAGUAAGCAAUGCGAGUUAAAAUUAGUUAAAAUCAAGUUUUAACUGAAUAAAAAUUA
Molecule: long non-coding RNA, 265 nt
Organism: Armigeres subalbatus
Lineage: Eukaryota; Metazoa; Arthropoda; Insecta; Diptera; Culicidae
Exons: 3
Source: RefSeq, a predicted model, not a curated record